This 23-nucleotide small nuclear RNA is filed under the name Arabidopsis thaliana (thale cress). Its description in RNAcentral is "snRNA_10824". Lineage: Eukaryota; Viridiplantae; Streptophyta; Magnoliopsida; Brassicales; Brassicaceae. The record is from RNAcentral.
AUUCUUCCAUUAGACUUUGGAGA